Ribosomal RNA from Bison bison bison, 119 nucleotides. The record is from Ensembl. Lineage: Eukaryota; Metazoa; Chordata; Mammalia; Artiodactyla; Bovidae.
AAAGGUAGUUACCACUCUGAAUACACCUGAUCUCGUCUAAUCUUGGAAGCUAAGCAGAGUCUUGCCUGUCUAGUACUUGGAUGGGAGACCACAUGGGAAUAUCAGUGUUAUAGGCUUUC